RNAcentral lists this ribosomal RNA (459 nucleotides) under uncultured bacterium. RNAcentral's name for it is "bacterial SSU rRNA". It matches the Rfam family "Bacterial small subunit ribosomal RNA", at positions 55 to 507 of the family's 1533-position model. The record is from RNAcentral.
AUGCAAGUCGAACGGUAACAUGAGUGCUUGCACGUUGAUGACGAGUGGCGGACGGGUGAGUAAAGUAUGGGGAUCUGCCGAAUGGAGGGGGACAACAGUUGGAAACGACUGCUAAUACCGCAUAAGUUGAGAGACCAAAGCAUGGGACUUACGGGCCAUGCGCCAUUCGAUGAACCCAUAUGGGAUUAGCUAGUUGGGUAGGGUAAUGGCUUACCAAGGCGACGAUCUCUAGCUGGUCUGAGAGGAUGACCAGCCACACUGGAACUGAGACACGGUCCAGACUCCGUACGGGAGGCAGCAGGUGGGAAUAUUGCACAUGGGGGAACCCUGAUGCAGCCAUGCCGCGCGUAUGAAGAAGGCCUGCGGGUUGUAAAGUACUUUCGGUGAUGAGGAAGGUGAUGUAUCUAAUAGGUGCAUCAAUUGACGUUAAUUACAGAAGAAGCACCGGCUAACUCCGUG